GCUACACAAAAGAGGCAUAGAGAAGCAGCAGUAAUUUCCAGGAUAAAAGAUUGGGUUUUGCCUUGACUCUAUGAAAUGUUAAAAUCUAUGUCUAGGAAGAAGAAAGAAGAAGCUUUUACUCAUCUAUGUUGGAGUCAAAUUAUCCAGGAAAGCAAAUGAGAAGCAAUAAGGUAACUCUUGCUUUUCAGGCAUGAAAAGAGGUAGAAGAUACCAGGGCAAGUGCCAUCUACUACAGAAGAAUAAUGAGUUUCUGGAAAGAAUAAGCCACAAGUCCAGGUACUAGUGGGUCUUCCUAUCCUGUUCUAACAUGAAGACCUAGGUACAUCUGAGUACAUGGAGAUACAAAACCCCAGGAAGGAGAUUUAUUGGGGCCUAUAUUGUAACCUGAUGACCUGACAGGAUACCUAUGAUCAGGACCCAGGACACCACCAGUCAUAAACUUAUAUCUUAAAAACUAUGGAUGAGAUAAGGAAUCCCAGACCUGGACUAUCCAUGCUUGGAGAGACUUGAGAUGAUUUGGUGGUCAGUCACUUAGGCCUCAACUUUGCACAACUGUGAUGUUCCAGCCCCCACCUGAUCAACCCAAGGAGGGGGAGGAGGUUAGACCCUCUGGAUUCAACUACAUAAUAUAGAUGCUGAGGGAAUUUCUUUGCUACAGACUAGGUGACAUCUUGGAAACUAAACCAUCAAGGAUCACUCACAAGGACUUCCAUGCACCAAUUAUUAUAUGUAAGGACUUUCUAGUGUUUCCCGCUGAGAACGGGGGUAGGAGCGACAAGAUUCAUCCAGCAUAUCAAUGAAUCCCAUCCUGGAGAGAACUUGCCCUUCCGCUUCACGGCCUUAGAACGAGUUGAACAUGCGCAGAAUGGGAUGGAUAAAGAAGCUGUUCUGUGCAGGAAAGAGGCGAGGUGGAUAUUAAGGCUGGAGGCUAUGGGACAUGUAGGUCUUAAUGAUAAGACGGAAUUGAAUAUACUGUUAUAAUUAUUGUUAUCUCUCUGCUGCUAUUGUUUUUAAGGUAUGUUUUAGUUUUUCACAUGGUAAUUGUUUUGUAUAUGUGAUCACUAUGGUAACCGAGGUCAGGGGUUCUGACAUCAGGACCAGUUGAAGCGUCAGAGCACGCAAAACGGUUCCGUUGUCCAGAAGCACCCCUGCUUGUCUAUCUGUUGUCUCCCUGCAGUGUCACCCGGUGAAUAAAGUCGUUUGAAGCAUCUUGGUGAGUGCCACGAUCUUUUUUUCUUCUCCUUGGAGCAUAUUUAUCCUAUUUUAGUUUCCUGAAUUGUUCUGAAUGUAUUUUUGUACAUAGCACAGUAACACCUUUUAGAUUAAAUGUUAAAUUAAUCACCUUGGGUCUUUGAUCCCUAAAUAUAUGAGAUCAUCUUUCUGAAGGAUGCUCUGGUUAAACACAUUUAUCAAAGGUAGAAAUCUAUCGGGCAUCUGUAGCUCACUCAAAUAAGCUAUCCUGAGGUUAACUGGAAUCGUCUAAAUCCCAGAAAGACCUAGUUAAUGGACAAUGUGUAUAUAAUAGAUCUUAUAUGACCAGUCCUCAAAGGACAGUAGAGAAAAGAAAUGAAAUAGAGAGAAAUAAAAGAAAAAAGAGGGAAAGGAAAAAAGAAUAGAAAAAAUAGGAUAAAUAGAAAAAGUAGAGAAAAUAGCUUACUCAAUAUAAAUAGUAGAAAUAUAGAAGACCUGAAUCUGGGUUGAGAAUAAUAUGAACAAUAUUUAAUAAUACUUAAUAUAUAUCACAACUCACAUCUGGCCAGGGCCCUUGCACCAGAUGUUAACAUAGAAUAACCAUAAGAAUAGAUAAAACAAAUGGAUAAAACAAUUACCUAAAAGAUGAAUGUAAAAAUGGCCUGAAAAUGUCCGUUAUAUAGAAAAAAACUGUAAAUGUCCGUAUAUAAGAAAGUUCAGUGAUAUCACGGUAAAUUGCAGUGAGAUAAGUUCAGGGAGCGGUAAUUUGCGAUGUACUAAGUAUAUUCGAUAGUAUUCGAUAGUACCUGUAAGCCGGGAUGUAAUUCACUUACUGACAGUAUGCGUCCGGCAUCCUUGAGACUGUCAGUCUCAGAGUGAGGGCAGGUAUCGGCGCUGGCAUGGAGUGGCGUCCGGCCUCCGUACAGGUAUGCAGUCUCGGUGAAGUAGAUGAUCCCGGCAAUGUGCAGGCUGGCACGGAGGGAGUCCGGCCAAUUGAGGUAGAUGUAACAAGAUGAUAGAUAAACCGAAAUCCCUGGUGUCCUCUUGUAGUGGCGGAAAGAGGAUCACGCGCGCGAUCAGCAGUGGUCCAAUAAAUGGGGUACUGCAGCGCUGCCCAGACCAAAAGCAGGCUAUAAAAGUCAUAUAAAGGUGUUUUUUAUAGAUAGUUGAUUAAAAUGUAAGGCUAUACGUGUUUCAAGACGACUGUCUCAUUCCUCAGUAGCCAUAAAAAAGUAUAUCCAUUUUUUAUAUAUAGCGCUCACGGCCAGUGUGUCUGGCCGGAGCGCUGGAUGUGACAGUAAGAAAUGUGAUCAGCACCAUAUUUAUCACAAACCCGGCACCAUGUAAUGAAUUAGGUGAAUGGGGUUGAUUCUGUAUGUGCACAUGGGUUUCCACACGCCCCGUUCAAAUGAAUAAUGUUCUUUUUAUAGAGUCUUUGUGGUGUACGUCUGACUAUGUGUUGGAAAAAUGGCAUUUAAUGUUAAUUUUAUUAUGUGUGUACAAUUACAGUGAUGCUCAAUUUGUAUAAUUUUUAUCAAGUAAAAAAAAAUUACUUUACAACACAAUAUUCUGACCUCUGUUGUUUUGUGCGAAAAUCUGUAGUUUGUUUGGGGGUGUUUGUAUCAUUUUUGGGUAGAUCAGACUUUGGGAUUCCUUUUUAUACAGUGUUUUGUGACAUGUGAGAUGACAAUGUUGACAGAUAUGUUUAUAAUUAGAUUUUUUUUUUAGUUCCUUAGGGAACUUGUACAGUGUCCCCCAAGGGGCACAAUGAAGCACCCAGGGCACGACACGGUCCGUUGCAUCAGAACACCCCCACUUUCUGUUUUGCCCAUCUCCUUUGCGCUGUAUCUGAGAUGAAAUAAAGGAGAACCCUUUUAUAAUUCUACAUAUGGUCCAUCUUUUCUUUUUUCUGGACGUGUUGCU
Hyla sarda is the source of this 3114-nucleotide long non-coding RNA. RefSeq lists it as uncharacterized. The transcript is spliced from 3 exons. Lineage: Eukaryota; Metazoa; Chordata; Amphibia; Anura; Hylidae. The record is from RefSeq and is a predicted model, not a curated record.